GGCAGUGCAGUAAUGAUUUGGUGAGGCAACAUAGGAAAUAUACUUGGCAUUAUGGCAUGAGGCCAAAUCCUGAGAGAUUCAUAGUUCCUGCACUAUGUCUUGAAGGCUGGGUGCUUGAAGAAUGAAAUCUAUGAUGCUCAGAAAAGAGAUGGGACAUAUUGCACUUGUGAAUGUUCUUGCUACACUUGUUUUUGAUGACAAUGUACAAGACAGAUGGAAAAUCAUUCUAGCAUUUGGUGAUUUCAUGUAUGCCCGAAGCAUGACUCUGAGGCCUAAAGGAUUUGAGAAUAUGAUCCAAUAGCAUCAAUGUCAAUGAUACAUAAAAGGAGACUAA
Molecule: non-coding RNA, 334 nt
Organism: Lonchura striata (white-rumped munia)
Lineage: Eukaryota; Metazoa; Chordata; Aves; Passeriformes; Estrildidae
Source: RefSeq, a predicted model, not a curated record